UGGCUCCUUAAGAGUCAUUUAACUGUGGCAUUUCUUGAUUGUAACCGGGCUGAUGCAGCUCCCGGGAUCCCGGGGAAGGAUGCAAGGCUGAAAAGAAAGAAUAUCCUCGCAUUCGUGAUCUUACACUCCAGUGACAGAUGACACACCUGCGUGAUGACAGAGUUCUUUCUGCAGAUGAGAGAGAACAAUGAGCAAAUGGAAGAAACACAGGAAGACGCAAACAGGUCUGCAGAUAACGAACAACGCGGAGGGAUGCCUCUGGCAGCCCUAGAAAGGAGAUGGUGCACACCUCCUCUCAACUCUGCACCCAGUGGCUUGCCGUGGGUAGCUUGAAUCCAGUGGUGAUGGGACUAUUUACAUCACGGAGAUCAACAAAUGUUACACACCCCAUUUUCCCUUAGUGUAUUACUGGCUGUAUAUUAAACUUAAGAGCAUGGCAUGUCUGUAGUCACUGUGAAUAGUGAAAACAUUAAGUUGAUCUCUGCAAUUCUUUGGAAAUUCCCCAACUCAGGAAAUGUGUUGUUUCCAUCACUAAUGAGUAAGGGACUUUUCAUCAGGUAACUCUGAAGCUGAGGAUUGCAGCUGGUGACUAUUAACUUGUGAAUCACAAAUUCACAGGUGAUGAAUAUAAUAAGCACAAGAAAAAAGCUUCCUGAUACAUUGUGCCUCAAACUUGAUAAUAUUUGGCGGGGAGGGGAUUAAUGAAUUGGAAUGAAAUCCCACUUGCCAAAUCAUGUUGAGUCACAACCAUAGAUCACAUCUUCAGCAAAAAACAAAGCAUUCAGUAAUAUCCAUGGGUUCUGUGUAACUUUUAAAAAGUCCUGGAUAGGGUUGGAGAGGUGGCUCUUCCAGGGGACCCAGAUUCAGUUCCCAGGGCCAUGUGGCAGCUCACAACUGUCUGGAACUUCAGAUCCAAGAGACCCAAUGCCCGCUUCUGUACCUGGAAAUCACAAAACUUAAAAAUGGUGCAAAGACAGACAGACAGACAGACAAAACACACAUACACAUAAAGUAAAAAAUAAAUCUUUUUUUAAGAAG
RNAcentral lists this long non-coding RNA (1038 nucleotides) under Mus pahari (shrew mouse). RNAcentral describes it as "lncRNA (MGP_PahariEiJ_G0004874.1)". Lineage: Eukaryota; Metazoa; Chordata; Mammalia; Rodentia; Muridae. The record is from RNAcentral.